UACCACGGAGUCUAGCAUGUGUGCGAGUCAUUGAGUUGUAUUAAAUAACAAAACUGAAAGGCGCAACGAAAGUGAAGGCGGACGCUCGCCGUCCGCUCAGGGAGGAUGGAGCCGAGGUCUCGAUCGAGGCUCUCGCACUCCCGAGGCGUCUCGUUUCCAAUCAGUGAAUGCAGGCGCGCUCUGAGCACAGAUGCUGGGACCCGAAAGAUGGUGAACUAUGCCUGGUCAGGUCGAAGUCAGGGGAAACCCUGAUGGAGGACCGUAGCGAUUCUGACGUGCAAAUCGAUCGUCGGAACUGGGUAUAGGGGCGAAAGACUAAUCGAACCAUCUAGUAGCUGGUUCCGUCCGAAGUUUCCCUCAGGAUAGCUGGCGUCGAUGUUUGAACAGUCUCAUCCGGUAAAGCGAAUGAUUAGAGGCAUUGGGGCCGAAACGACCUCAACCUAUUCUCAAACUUUAAAUGGGUGAGAGCUCCGGCUUACUCGAACGAUGAAGCCGGAGAUCUGAUGACGGUGCCAAGUGGGCCAAUUUUGGUAAGCAGAACGGCGCUGUGGGAUGAACCAAACGUAGCGUUAAGGCGCCUAAAAAACGCUCAUGGGACACCAUGAAAGGCGUUGGUCGCUCAUGACAGCAGGACGGUGGCCAUG
This 644-nucleotide ribosomal RNA is filed under the name Rhodinia verecunda. Its description in RNAcentral is "eukaryotic LSU rRNA". It matches the Rfam family "Eukaryotic large subunit ribosomal RNA", at positions 665 to 1256 of the family's 3401-position model. The record is from RNAcentral. Lineage: Eukaryota; Metazoa; Arthropoda; Insecta; Lepidoptera; Saturniidae.